This 497-nucleotide ribosomal RNA is filed under the name uncultured bacterium. RNAcentral describes it as "partial 16S ribosomal RNA". It matches the Rfam family "Bacterial small subunit ribosomal RNA", at positions 28 to 507 of the family's 1533-position model. The record is from RNAcentral.
GAUGAACGCUGGCGGCGUGCCUAAUACAUGCAAGUAGAACGCUGAAGGAAGGAGCUUGCUCUUUCCGGAUGAGUUGCGAACGGGUGAGUAACGCGUAGGUAACCUGCCUGGUAGCGGGGGAUAACUAUUGGAAACGAUAGCUAAUACCGCAUAACAGUAGAUGUUGCAUGAUAUCUACUUAAAAGGUGCAAUUGCACCACUACCAGAUGGACCUGCGUUGUAUUAGCUAGUUGGUGAGGUAACGGCUCACCAAGGCGACGAUACAUAGCCGACCUGAGAGGGUGAUCGGCCACACUGGGACUGAGACACGGCCCAGACUCCUACGGGAGGCAGCAGUAGGGAAUCUUCGGCAAUGGACGGAAGUCUGACCGAGCAACGCCGCGUGAGUGAAGAAGGUUGUCGAAUCGUAAAGCUCUGUUGUAAGAGAAGAACGAGUGUGAGAGUGGAAAGUUCACACUGUGACGGUAUCUUACCAGAAAGGGACGGCUAACUACGUG